Molecule: ribosomal RNA, 253 nt
Filed under: uncultured bacterium
Lineage: Bacteria
Description: partial 16S ribosomal RNA
Rfam family: Bacterial small subunit ribosomal RNA
Source: RNAcentral
UACGUAGGGUGCAAGCGUUGUCCGGAUUUAUUGGGUUUAAAGGGUGCGUAGGCGGCCCUGUAAGUCAGUGGUGAAAUACUCCAGCUUAACUGGAGGGGUGCCAUUGAUACUGCAGGGCUUGAGUUAAGUUGAAGUUGGCGGAAUUGACGGUGUAGCGGUGAAAUGCUUAGAUAUCGUCAAGAACACCGAUAGUGAAGACAGCUAACUAAACUUUUACCGACGCUGAGGCACGAAAGUGUGGGGAUCAAACAGG